Molecule: non-coding RNA, 86 nt
Organism: Xylaria telfairii
Lineage: Eukaryota; Fungi; Ascomycota; Sordariomycetes; Xylariales; Xylariaceae
Source: the annotation of a GenBank genome assembly
GGCUUCGUGGCCUAAUGGCUAGGGCGCUAGAUUUCGGUACUAUUCUGAUUCUCUAGAGAUUGUCGGUUCGAGUCCGGCCGAAGUCG